GUGAGUCAGGCCUCUCUGACCACAGGGAGCAGCCCCGGCUCCAACAUGGAUCAGGGCAGGGACCAUGCAGCAACGUGUAGCGGAGGCCACACCCGCUGGAUCAGGAGGCUGGAUCUGCAACCUUUGGGGCUACAAAGGGCACAAUGCGGGAUUCAGGAAGGCCUGAUCCAUCAGGGUCUGCUGUCUGGCGGUACAUGAAAUCCUCCCAGUACAGACUCUGCAGGACAGAAAGGCCCUCCGGGAUGGAGCUGUAGCAUGCGCGCAGAUUUAUCUACAAGAUGCCAUGCUUUGCUGCCACAGCCGGAUGGAGAAUGUUUGCUGUGGCCGACCGCUGGGUGAGGUUCACUGUGACGAAUGGCCAGACACGGUUCAUUGAAGCAGUCUACUGGACAGGGUUCCUCGUUGGAAAACCAGAUGAAGAUUGAAAUUUCAAGGAAUUAAGUCACUUGCUCAAUAUUUAUUC
Long non-coding RNA from Balaenoptera acutorostrata (minke whale), 463 nucleotides. RefSeq lists it as uncharacterized. Lineage: Eukaryota; Metazoa; Chordata; Mammalia; Artiodactyla; Balaenopteridae. The transcript is spliced from 3 exons. The record is from RefSeq and is a predicted model, not a curated record.